Molecule: ribosomal RNA, 402 nt
Filed under: uncultured bacterium
Lineage: Bacteria
Description: bacterial SSU rRNA
Rfam family: Bacterial small subunit ribosomal RNA
Source: RNAcentral
UGGGGAAUAUUGGACAAUGGGCGCAAGCCUGAUCCAGCCAUGCCGCGUGAGUGAUGAAGGCCUUAGGGUUGUAAAGCUCUUUCACCCGGGACGAUAAUAACGGUACCGGGAGAAGAAGCCCCGGCUAACUUCGUGCCAGCAGCCGCGGUAAUACGAAGGGGGCUAGCGUUGUUCGGAAUCACUGGGCGUAAAGCGUACGUAGGCGGACCGUUAAGUCGGAGGUGAAAUCCUGGGGCUCAACCCCAGAACUGCCUUCGAUACUGGCGGUCUCGAGUCCGGAAGAGGUGAGUCGAACUGCCAGUGUAGAGGUGAAAUUCGUAGAUAUUGGCAAGAACACCAGUGGCGAAGGCGGCUCACUGGUCCGGUACUGACGCUGAGGUACGAAAGCGUGGGGAGCAAACA